UACGGAGGGGGCUAGCGUUGUUCGGAAUUACUGGGCGUAAAGCGCGCGUAGGCGGCUUUGUAAGUUAGAGGUGAAAGCCCGGGGCUCAACUCCGGAAUUGCCUUUAAGACUGCAUCGCUAGAACGUCGGAGAGGUAAGUGGAAUUCCGAGUGUAGAGGUGAAAUUCGUAGAUAUUCGGAAGAACACCAGUGGCGAAGGCGACUUACUGGACGACUGUUGACGCUGAGGUGCGAAAGCGUGGGGAGCAAACAGG
RNAcentral lists this ribosomal RNA (253 nucleotides) under uncultured bacterium. RNAcentral's name for it is "partial 16S ribosomal RNA". It matches the Rfam family "Bacterial small subunit ribosomal RNA", at positions 524 to 776 of the family's 1533-position model. The record is from RNAcentral.